CCGCACUAUCACGUGAUCUUACCUUCUGUGUCUGUGAUGUUCAGUCUGAGUGGUCCAGGUAGGGGGAGCCUACGUAUUAUAGGAAGAUCCGAGGGUGCAAAGGGCUGAGAAGCCACCUACCAAGAUUUCAGCCUGAAACACUAAAGCCAGGGGUUCUCAGAAGCCUGUGGAAAGCUGCUGUGAAGCUCCCUCUGCACUGGGGGCUGGAUAAAGCCACCAAUGCAGGAUAAAGGCCUCUGCUAGGUUCCUCACUGGGGUUGGCAUGUGGGUCCUCCUGGGAAUGGCAUUCUGGGAAAUGUAGUUCCUGCUUUGCUUCUGAGGUGCAGAGGAGACCUAGACAGGGCUGGUGGUGAUGCUGAGUUGGCACCUGAAAACCCAGCACACGUCCAAGAGAGUCAUUCCAUCACCAGGAGAUUAGAGGAGGCAGGGUGGUGUGUGGGAAAGGCCUUGGGUCCAAGUGCCUCCUGUGGCACCUACGCGCCAAUUGGGCAAGUCACUCCACCCCUCAGGCACUUUGCCUAUCAGGAUCAAAUAAUAUAAGACACUGGCUGAUUCUCACAUCGUCUGUAACACAGUGGGCACUCAGUUAAGGUUGUUCUUGCACCUCCAGCUACAAACAGACAAGUGUAUUCUGAGGGCUAUUUGUCCGGAGAGCUCUUGAAUAUUUUGACACCAAUGCUCUUAGAGCAGAGAUUGCCAGUUGCCCCCAUCCCACUCUUCUUUCCGCCAUAGCAAUAGAGGCCCCAUGGCAGUUCUGAGGAAGUCACAUUCUGGCCUCUUUUGAAGCUUGGUGCAGCCACAUCCUCACCUGUGUCUGUAGCCAGAAGUGAUGCAUGCAAUGUCCAGGCUUGCCUUUGAAAGGAAAUGGAUUUGUGCUGCCUCCCUGCUCCCUCUUUCUGCUUGUUGUGAUGGGCCGUACUGAUGCGAGCAGGGCAGCCAAGCAUCAAGCCAGGAGGAAUUGGGCUCCUUGUCCCUCUGGGAUUGCCGCACCAGCCAGGACAGCUUGAGCUCAGACUAUCAGGGGAAGCCAUUCUGUGAACUGUCCUAUGGAGAGGCCAGCUUGGGGAGGAAUUGAUGUCUUCUAUCAGGAACCAUGAGAGUGAGCUUAGAAGUGGAUCCUGCCCCCUCAGUGAAUCCUGCGGCUCCAAGUGACAGCUUGACUGCAACAUCAUCUGAGACCCUAAGCAGGAGCCACCUUGCUUGGCCAGUCCUGGAUCCCUGAACCCUCGGAAACUAUGCUGAGAUGACUUGAGCCAAAUGAAAUUGCAUGUAUGACUGUUCAUUUCUCCUCACUCCACUCACGGUAGGUGCCAGAGACAGAGGGCCUCAAGCCAGGGAAGGAGGAUGUGACAUUGCUUUCCUCUUCGUAGAGGCGAUGUCACCCUUGGGCACUUGCUCCUAGAGAGCUGCAUGCAGCUGGCAACUGCACCAGCACAGCAAUAUCGCCCACAGCAGGCUCCGCUGAGGCCAAGCCCCACCCCGCCCAGGUUCCUACUCUCCCUUCUGCUUUGCAUUUUGUGAUGAUGGCAAAUCACUCUUUUCCAAACGAAAAAAGAAAAAUGCAAGAUCCAGUCUUGAGAAGGAAUGUUCUCACUUCUCAAAGAGCUACUGGUCUAUAAUGCGAGAAAGCUGGAAAGCUGUUUAUUGGAAGAACUGUGGAUGUUUCUUGUCACGAAGGCAUGACCCUAUGGCGCUGAAAGGCAUAUAUUUCGGAAUAACAACUUCUAGCAUAUAUUUUGGAAUGUAACCCUCUCAAAGAACUACCUUGCAGCUCUCAAGGACCACCGUGAUCUCAAGGAGAAGUUAUCUACGAGCAAAUAUAGAAGGGAGAGAAGGACCAGGAAGAGGCAAGUUGGCAGAACCCAGGAUAAAUCCACAUUUGGGGGUUAUACUGAGAACAGCGAGGAAGUUCUCUUACAACUUAUGACCAGAAUAUCCACUAGCAAAAUGUAGUGGCCUGUUUCCUCCAUCCAAAAGAGAAAUGGAAAGCCCCAAACUUGGGAUCAAGAAAGUGAAUAACAUAAUUAUAAAAGGGUGAAAGUCUAACACAAACUGUCCUUUUGAGGACAGCAGAGCCCAUGGGUCAGAAAAAGCCUAACAGCCCCUGACUUAACCCCUUUCUUACUGUGUGACCUUGGGAAGUGACCUAAGUGCUCUGAGCUUUUGACUUUUAUAGGUAAAGUAGGUAAUAAUACCAACCUCCUGGGGGUAUUCAGAGAGAGAAGUGAUAAAAUGCAAGGAAAGUAUUUAGCACAAUGCCUUGCACCAGGUUGUCAGUCAACAGUAGCUAACUCAGUAUCGAUGGCAGCCAAAACCACACAAGCACCACAUGCCCGAUGUCCGAUAAAGGCACGUUGCAGGGAUUUUGCCAUUAUUUCUGGUGCCAUAUAGAAUACCCCUUAGCUCCUGACCCUGGUACCAUUUUUUGCUGGUUCUGCCUGACUCCUGCAUGUUGACUCAGUUUCCAUUUUUAGCUCUAUUCCUGCAGGUUGGACCACAGAUGUUGGUUUUCUAGGUAAUCUCUAUCCGGAAUUGGGCCUAUUUGCUUAACACCUAGCACUACCACACAGGAAGGUGAGGAUGAGAUUUGGAUAGUAGGAUUUGAAAAAUGAGACACUGUUAAUUCAUGAGAAAGAAGUAUGAGGGUUUUAGUUAAUUGUAAAAUCCACACGGUCAGCAACAAAUUUGGGAGGAGGGGUGAGUGUAAUCUGAUUCCAAAACUCAAGGGGGGGCCUCCAAGUGGGCAUGUGCUUGAUUUUGGGCAGUAGAAAGAUCUAGCAAUAAGUAUUUAGUAGGCACUAUUUAUCAAGUAUUCACUAUAUACUAGACACUAUUCGUUGAAAUUUAUAAACAUGAUUUAAUAUAAUCCUUCAACCACUGUUAGAAAAGAUUGUACAAAGUUUUACCAACCAGGAAAUAACUUACUUGAAGUCAAACAGCAAGCAAGUAUUGAAUCUGGAAUUUGACACAGGCCUUCAAAGCUAAUAUAUAUUUUUUUAACAACUGAAUAACUCUAACAUUGGCCCCAAAUUGGGCCUUUCCUCAACAAUUAGUAAUUAUCACACACACAUAUUUUGUCUCUCCCUUCCUCUCAAACACUCAGAAGAGUUAGCUAGAAAAGCACUCAUAGAUUAUUAAUUUUUAGUGUCUCAUUUUUUAUGCCUCUCUUCUUAAAAACUAUGUUUUGUAUCAACAGAUCUUGCUCAAUCUCUUAGAGUUUUGGAGCAACAUUGUUACCUGAUUCCAAAGACAAAAUGAAAUGGCAUAAUAAAAUGAAAAUGGUUGUGUUCUUCAGCUUUAAAUGUGCAAAACUACUCUGCAAGUUAAGUAAGGCCUUUUGUUUGCUGGACUGUCAAAACACAUUUAGAAAACAUGGUUUUCAAGUGAUCUAUUUUAACUGGAACAUGAUAGAACUAAAAUUUAUCUAUUGAAGCUAAGCUGCAAACCAUGUCACAUAGGAAGGGUUGAAAAGAAAUGGGAAAACAGAAAACUAAAAGGGACAUAAUAGUUGUUUUCAAAUAUUGAAAGGUUGUUGUGAAGAAGUCAAAUUGAAUGUAUCCAUGUGGUCUUAAGGAGUGCAUAGGGGGCUGUUAGAUGGAAGUCACUAAAUGUAAUGAAUGUUCUUAUGUUCUUGUGUAUAUUCAGAUUAUUCUGUGUUCAAAGGGGGCAUUUUGGUGGCUAGUUGGGUUUUUGGCUCUAUAGUUGUCCAGCAGAGGCUGGCUUGAGGAUGGACUUCUUAUACUUGGACAGUGGGUCAGAUUAAUGACUACUAAGAGUCUGUAAUUUUACCCAUCAAAUUGCAUCAUCCAAAUAGGCAGGUAUACUCAUUGCUGUCGGAGGCUUUUGCAAGAAUCUGAGACAGACAGACUAGGAGUGAGGGUAGGGGUACCACUGCCCAUGAGACUACAGGAAGGCCUGGUGAGAGAAGGAGUGAGAUGAGAGAAGAAAUGGGAGAGCUGAGGUCAGAGGUCAAGGGAAGCGAAUUGAGUGUCAACCAUAGGUGGUAGAUAAAUAGAAGCAUGGUGCAUUGGUAGAGGUUGGAAUGAAGCAGGAAGUUAGAGUGCAGUGGGCAAGAAGGCAAUGUAGGGGAUCCAGUGGAUAAAGUUAGUCCAGGUCCUUAAUCUGCUGACACUGGAUUUAAAAAUGCAAAAUAAAUUUUUCUUAUUUCAAAUGCAAGACAUGCUCAUUACAAAAAUCUGAAAUAUAGAUUUUCAUUACACAAACAAGAAAAUAUAAAUUCCCAGAGUUCUAGUCAAUCAGAGAAAACUAUUAAAAACACGUUAGUAGAGCCGAGCGCGAUGGCUCAUGCCUGUAAUCCCAGUACUUUGAGAGGCUGAGACAGGAGGAUCACCUGAGGUCAGGAGUUGGAGACCAGCCUGGCCAACAUGGUGAAACCCUGUCUCUACUAAAAAUACAAAAAUUAGCUGGACAUGGUGGUGGGCGCCUGUAAUCCCAGCUACUCAGGAGACUGAGGCAGGAGAAUCACUUGAACCCUGGAGGCAGAGGUUGCGGUGAGCUGAGAUCGCCCCACUGCACUCCAGCCUGCAUGACAGAGUGAGACUCUGUUUCAAACAAAACAAAACAAAAACAAAAACUAAAACUAAAAAACACAUUGGUGUAUAUCCUUCUGAAUGCUUUUCUAGGCAUAUAUACAACACACACACUGACAUUCUAAAAUAAAAUCCAUAUACAUUUUCAUACAGUUUUAUGAGCUAUUUUUUUCAGUUAACAUCUUAUUAACAUCUUUCCUUUCAACGGGCCACUUCACAUGAUUAUGAAUGUUAGUCAUGUGUGUCAAGGUAUAAAUGGAUGUCUCAUAGUUUAUUUUAGCCUGAGGUUUUACAAUUUUAUUUUAAACACUGGAAUCCUUUCAUGAAACAAAAUCAUACAUGGGGCGUAGCAAAUAAACAGAUAAACAAAACAAACAGAGCAGCUCCAUUUGAUGAGUAAAAUUGCAAAGUCAAGAGUCAGUCAUAUUUUGAAAACUUUGGCUGUAUAUUACCAAAUUUUUUUCCAGAGAGAUUGUGAGAGCCUGUUUUAUUACCCUUUCACCAUCAUGGAAUAUUUUAAAAAUGUUCUCAAAUUUUGUCUUAUGAUGUUAAUGUGCC
RNAcentral lists this long non-coding RNA (5108 nucleotides) under Homo sapiens (human). Its description in RNAcentral is "HSALNT0121294". Lineage: Eukaryota; Metazoa; Chordata; Mammalia; Primates; Hominidae. The record is from RNAcentral.